ACGAAGGGUACAAGCGUUAAUCGGAAUUACUGGGCGUAAAGGGUGCGUAGGCGGUUCGUUAAGUCUGUUGUGAAAUCCCCGGGCUCAACCUGGGAAUGGCAAUGGAUACUGGCGAGCUAGAGUGUGUCAGAGGAUGGUGGAAUUCCCGGUGUAGCAGUGAAAUGCGUAGAGAUCGGGAGGAACAUCUGUGGCGAAGGCGACUACCUGGACCAGCACUGACGCUGAGGCACGAAAGCGUGGGGAGCAAACAGGA
Molecule: ribosomal RNA, 253 nt
Filed under: uncultured prokaryote
Description: partial 16S ribosomal RNA
Rfam family: Bacterial small subunit ribosomal RNA
Source: RNAcentral